Molecule: small nucleolar RNA, 111 nt
Filed under: Leersia perrieri
Lineage: Eukaryota; Viridiplantae; Streptophyta; Magnoliopsida; Poales; Poaceae
Description: snoRNA snoR1
Rfam family: Small nucleolar RNA snoR1
About the family: snoR1 is a member of the C/D class of snoRNA which contain the C (UGAUGA) and D (CUGA) box motifs. Most of the members of the box C/D family function in directing site-specific 2'-O-methylation of substrate RNAs.
Source: Rfam by way of RNAcentral
AGCCGUGAUGAGCAUUGCUUCCUUCUGACACCUCUUGUAUGAGAAGGCGCCUCUCUUUCUUUGAAGGAAGAGAUGCCCUUCACUGAGCAGAGUACAGCAACCCUCUGAGUG